Molecule: ribosomal RNA, 119 nt
Filed under: Triticum aestivum (bread wheat)
Lineage: Eukaryota; Viridiplantae; Streptophyta; Magnoliopsida; Poales; Poaceae
Source: RNAcentral
GGAUGCGAUCAUACCAGCACUAAAGCACCAGAUCCCAUCAGAACUCCGAAGUUAAGCAUGCUUGGGCGAGAGUAGUACUAGGAUGGGUGACCUCCUGGGAAGUCCUCGUGUUGCAUUCC